GACGAACGCUGGCGGCGUGCCUAAUACAUGCAAGUUGAGCGCUGAAGGUUGGUACUUGUACCAACUGGAUGAGCAGCGAACGGGUGAGUAACGCGUGGGGAAUCUGCCUUUGAGCGGGGGACAACAUUUGGAAACGAAUGCUAAUACCGCAUAAAAACUUUAAACACAAGUUUUAAGUUUGAAAGAUGCAAUUGCAUCACUCAAAGAUGAUCCCGCGUUGUAUUAGCUAGUUGGUGAGGUAAAGGCUCACCAAGGCGAUGAUACAUAGCCGACCUGAGAGGGGGAUCGGCCACAUUGGGACUGAGACACGGCCCAAACUCCUACGGGAGGCAGCAGUAGGGAAUCUUCAGCAAUGGACGAAAGUCUGACCGAGCAACGCCGCGUGAGUGAAGAAUGUUUUCGGAUCGUAAAACUCUGUUGGUAGAGAAGAACGUUGGUGAGAGUGGAAAGCUCAUCAAGUGACGGUAACUACCCAGAAAGGUACGGCUAACUACGUG
Molecule: ribosomal RNA, 497 nt
Filed under: uncultured bacterium
Lineage: Bacteria
Description: partial 16S ribosomal RNA
Rfam family: Bacterial small subunit ribosomal RNA
Source: RNAcentral